This 1097-nucleotide long non-coding RNA is filed under the name Anas zonorhyncha (Eastern spot-billed duck). RNAcentral's name for it is "lncRNA (ENSAZOG00000005629.1)". Lineage: Eukaryota; Metazoa; Chordata; Aves; Anseriformes; Anatidae. The record is from RNAcentral.
GCAUGGAACACUGGAGGUGAAAAUUCUGACCAGUAGUGUUUCGUUUUAUUGACAUUGCAUGAUCCUAAGGAUGUGGGAGAGGCUCAGUCUGUAGUGUCCAUGCUUCUGGAUUUCAUCAUAUGUUUGUGUGCUUUGGAGCCUUCAGACACAUCCUGGAAAUUCCAGCUGGCAGGACUGUGGGGUUGGGUGGAUCUGCCCACAAGGGAAAGAUUAUGAAUCCCAAAUUGUCCUAGUUCAGAACCUUCGUGUCGACACCACCAUAGUCUGACGUCAUUUCAGAAAGGACAGAGACUUCCUGCACCUGUCAUACUGAAGUCAGAAGGUGCCUCAGAGAUAUUCAAGCACCAAGAUCUUGACAGCCAAAAGCAACUGGCCCAUUGCAAGCAUAAAAUUUAAUAAUUUCAACUUUUGCAUGCUCUGGGACUGACGCUUUCAUGUAGAUUGCUUCCAUGAUUUUGCAUUUUUGGAAGCCUGCAGUUACUUUUGGGAAGCACUGAGCGCACCUCCUUCAGCCCCCUGCAUUCGGUGCGCCCUCGCAGGGAGCCCAUCUUGGCACCACAGGCAGGUCCCCCAUGUGCUACAUUACCCCAAUUUACACCCGUAUCCCAACAACUCUACGCCCCCACUGCCUCUCCUCGCAAUCCGUGGGGUUUUAUCGCCCGGGAGCGGCCGCCUCCAUGCCCCAGGAGCCCUGUGAGCCCCCUGACACCGCUCCCCUUCCCCCCCGCAGCCCCAUCCCACCUCAGCUCCAUCCCCCCCCCCANNNNNNNNNNNNNNNNNNNNNNNNNNNNNNNNNNNNNNNNNNNNNNNCCCCCCUUCAACCCCCGCCCCCUGGGCGCUGCCCGCCAAUCACACCCCAGCACCCCCCACCGCUGACCUAUCAGCGCCCUCCUCCCUUCCCGCUCCUCCGCCCCGCCGGCGAAUCCCCGCCCCUUUCCCCACCGGCAGCCAAUGGCGGGGCGGGCGGCAAGCGCGGCUCCGGCGGGGCGUGUGAGGGGAGCGGCCGCCGCCCUCCUCCCUCCCUCGCCGCCCUCCUCGCUCCGCCGCCGGUCUCCUGCGCUCGGCCGGCUCCGGGCCGCCCCUGGUGGAGCCGCUGA